GGAUAACACCUGGAAACAGAUGCUAAUACCGGAUAACAACAGAUGAUGCCUAUCAACUGUUUAAAAGAUGGUUCUGCUAUCACUCUUGGAUGGACCUGCGGUGCAUUAGCUAGUUGGUAGGGUAACGGCCUACCAAGGCGAUGAUGCAUAGCCGAGUUGAGAGACUGAUCGGCCACAUUGGGACUGAGACACGGCCCAAACUCCUACGGGAGGCAGCAGCC
Molecule: ribosomal RNA, 221 nt
Filed under: uncultured Lactobacillus sp.
Lineage: Bacteria; Bacillati; Bacillota; Bacilli; Lactobacillales; Lactobacillaceae
Description: partial 16S ribosomal RNA
Rfam family: Bacterial small subunit ribosomal RNA
Source: RNAcentral